This 1174-nucleotide ribosomal RNA is filed under the name Campylobacter jejuni. RNAcentral's name for it is "partial 23S ribosomal RNA". It matches the Rfam family "Bacterial large subunit ribosomal RNA", at positions 1 to 1188 of the family's 2925-position model. The record is from RNAcentral. Lineage: Bacteria; Pseudomonadati; Campylobacterota; Epsilonproteobacteria; Campylobacterales; Campylobacteraceae.
UAAAAAAAGGUAAGCUACUAAGAGCGAAUGGUGGAUGCCUUGACUGGUAAAGGCGAUGAAGGACGUACUAGACUGCGAUAAGCUACGGGGAGCUGUCAAGAAGCUUUGAUCCGUAGAUUUCCGAAUGGGGCAACCCAAUGUAUAGAGAUAUACAUUACCUAUAUAGGAGCGAACGAGGGGAAUUGAAACAUCUUAGUACCCUCAGGAAAAGAAAUCAAUAGAGAUUGCGUCAGUAGCGGCGAGCGAAAGCGCAAGAGGGCAAACCCAGUGCUUGCACUGGGGGUUGUAGGACUGCAAUGUGCAAGAGGUAAGUUUAGCAGAACAUUCUGGAAAGUAUAACCAUAGAGGGUGAUAGUCCCGUAUGCGAAAAACAAACCUUAGCUAGCAGUAUCCUGAGUAGGGCGGGACACGAGGAAUCCUGUCUGAAUCCGGGUCGACCACGAUCCAACCCUAAAUACUAAUACCAGAUCGAUAGUGCACAAGUACCGUGAGGGAAAGGUGAAAAGAACUGAGGUGAUCAGAGUGAAAUAGAACCUGAAACCAUUUGCUUACAAUCAUUCAGAGCCCUAUGUAGCAAUACAGGGUGAUGGACUGCCUUUUGCAUAAUGAGCCUGCGAGUUGUGGUGUCUGGCAAGGUUAAGCAAACGCGAAGCCGUAGCGAAAGCGAGUCUGAAUAGGGCGCUUAGUCAGAUGCUGCAGACCCGAAACGAAGUGAUCUAUCCAUGAGCAAGUUGAAGCUAGUGUAAGAACUAGUGGAGGACUGAACCCAUAGGCGUUGAAAAGCCCCGGGAUGACUUGUGGAUAGGGGUGAAAGGCCAAUCAAACUUCGUGAUAGCUGGUUCUCUCCGAAAUAUAUUUAGGUAUAGCGUUGUGUCGUAAUAUAAGGGGGUAGAGCACUGAAUGGGCUAGGGCAUACACCAAUGUACCAAACCCUAUCAAACUCCGAAUACCUUAUAUGUAAUCACAGCAGUCAGGCGGCGAGUGAUAAAAUCCGUCGUCAAGAGGGAAACAACCCAGACUACCAGCUAAGGUCCCUAAGUCUUACUUAAGUGGAAAACGAUGUGAAGUUACUUAAACAACCAGGAGGUUGGCUUAGAAGCAGCCAUCCUUUAAAGAAAGCGUAAUAGCUCACUGGUCUAGUGAUUUUGCGCGGAAAAUAUAACGGGGCUAAAGU